RNAcentral lists this ribosomal RNA (492 nucleotides) under uncultured bacterium. RNAcentral describes it as "partial 16S ribosomal RNA". It matches the Rfam family "Bacterial small subunit ribosomal RNA", at positions 30 to 507 of the family's 1533-position model. The record is from RNAcentral.
AUUGAACGCUGGCGGCAUGCUUUACACAUGCAAGUCGAACGGUAACAGGCCUUCGGGUGCUGACGAGUGGCGCACGGGUGAGUAAUGCAUCGGAACGUGCCCAGAGGUGGGGGAUAACGCAGCGAAAGCUGUGCUAAUACCGCAUGUGAUCUGAGGAUGAAAGCGGGGGACCAAGCAGCAAUGUUUGGCCUCGCGCCUCUGGAGCGGCCGAUGUCAGAUUAGGUAGUUGGUGGGGUAAAGGCCUACCAAGCCGACGAUCUGUAGCUGGUCUGAGAGGACGACCGGCCACACUGGGACUGAGACACGGCCCAGACUCCUACGGGAGGCAGCAGUGGGGAAUUUUGGACAAUGGGCGCAAGCCUGAUCCAGCAAUGCCGCGUGCGGGAAGAAGGCCUUCGGGUUGUAAACCGCUUUUGUACGGAACGAAAAGGCUCUGGCUAAUACCUGGGGCUGAUGACGGUACCGUAAGAAUAAGCACCGGCUAACUACGUG